Molecule: ribosomal RNA, 833 nt
Filed under: uncultured bacterium
Lineage: Bacteria
Description: bacterial SSU rRNA
Rfam family: Bacterial small subunit ribosomal RNA
Source: RNAcentral
GAAUUCGCCCUUAGAGUUUGAUCCUGGCUCAGGACGAACGCUGGCGGCGCGCCUAACACAUGCAAGUCGAACGAGAGAUGAGGAGCUUGCUCUUCAAAUCGAGUGACGAACGGGUGAGUAACGCGUGAGGAACCUGCCUCAAAGAGGGGGACAACAGUUGGAAACGACUGCUAAUACCGCAUAAGCCCACAGCUCGGCAUCGAGCAGAGGGAAAAGGAGCAAUCCGCUUUGAGAUGGCCUCGCGUCCGAUUAGCUAGUUGGUGAGGUAACGGCCCACCAAGGCGACGAUCGGUAGCCGGACUGAGAGGUUGAACGGCCACAUUGGGACUGAGACACGGCCCAGACUCCUACGGGAGGCAGCAGUGGGGAAUAUUGCACAAUGGGGGAAACCCUGAUGCAGCGACGCCGCGUGGAGGAAGAAGGUCUUCGGAUUGUAAACUCCUGUUGUUGAGGAAGAUAAUGACGGUACUCAACAAGGAAGUGACGGCUAACUACGUGCCAGCAGCCGCGGUAAAACGUAGGUCACAAGCGUUGUCCGGAAUUACUGGGUGUAAAGGGAGCGCAGGCGGGAGAACAAGUUGGAAGUGAAAUCCAUGGGCUCAACCCAUGAACUGCUUUCAAAACUGUUUUUCUUGAGUAGUGCAGAGGUAGGCGGAAUUCCCGGUGUAGCGGUGGAAUGCGUAGAUAUCGGGAGGAACACCAGUGGCGAAGGCGGCCUACUGGGCACCAACUGACGCUGAGGCUCGAAAGUGUGGGUAGCAAACAGGAUUAGAUACCCUGGUAGUCCACACCGUAAACGAUGAUUACUAGGUGUUGGGAGAUUAACCCCUUCA